This 497-nucleotide ribosomal RNA is filed under the name uncultured bacterium. RNAcentral's name for it is "partial 16S ribosomal RNA". It matches the Rfam family "Bacterial small subunit ribosomal RNA", at positions 28 to 507 of the family's 1533-position model. The record is from RNAcentral.
GAUGGACGCUGGCGGCGUGCCUAAUACAUGCAAGUCGAGCGAACGGACGAGAAGCUUGCUUCUCUGAUGUUAGCGGCGGACGGGUGAGUAACACGUGGAUAACCUACCUAUAAGACUGGGAUAACUUCGGGAAACCGGAGCUAAUACCGGAUAAUAUUUUGAACCGCAUGGUUCAAAAGUGAAAGACGGUCUUGCUGUCACUUAUAGAUGGAUCCGCGCUGCAUUAGCUAGUUGGUAAGGUAACGGCUUACCAAGGCAACGAUGCAUAGCCGACCUGAGAGGGUGAUCGGCCACACUGGAACUGAGACACGGUCCAGACUCCUGCGGGAGGCAGCAGUAGGGAAUCUUCCGCAAUGGGCGAAAGCCUGACGGAGCAACGCCGCGUGAGUGAUGAAGGUCUUCGGAUCGUAAAACUCUGUUAUUAGGGAAGAACAUAUGUGUAAGUAACUGUGCACAUCUUGACGGUACCUAAUCAGAAAGCCACGGCUAACUACGUG